This 301-nucleotide ribosomal RNA is filed under the name uncultured bacterium. RNAcentral describes it as "partial 16S ribosomal RNA". It matches the Rfam family "Bacterial small subunit ribosomal RNA", at positions 509 to 807 of the family's 1533-position model. The record is from RNAcentral.
CAGCCGCCGCGGGAAUACAGAGGGUGCGAGCGUUAAUCGGAUUUACUGGGCGUAAAGCGUGCGUAGGCGGCUUCUUAAGUCGGAUGUGAAAUCCCUGAGCUUAACUUAGGAAUUGCAUUCGAUACUGGGAAGCUAGAGUAUGGGAGAGGAUGGUAGAAUUCCAGGUGUAGCCGUGAAAUGCGUAGAGAUCUGGAGGAAUACCGAUGGCGAAGGCAGCCAUCUGGCCUAAUACUGACGCUGAGGUACGAAAGCAUGGGGAGCAAACAGGAUUAGAUACCCGCGUAGUCCCUGUCUCUUAUAC